GUACUGAGACACGGACCAGACUCCUACGGGAGGCAGCAGUGAGGAAUAUUGGACAAUGGGCGCAAGCCUGAUCCAGCCAUGCCGCGUGCAGGAUGACGGUCCUAUGGAUUGUAAACUGCUUUUGUACAGGAAGAAACACUGGUUCGUGAACCAGCUUGACGGUACUGUAAGAAUAAGGAUCGGCUAACUCCGUGCCAGCAGCCGCGGUAAU
This 211-nucleotide ribosomal RNA is filed under the name uncultured Cytophagales ESR 15. RNAcentral describes it as "partial 16S ribosomal RNA". It matches the Rfam family "Bacterial small subunit ribosomal RNA", at positions 316 to 524 of the family's 1533-position model. The record is from RNAcentral. Lineage: Bacteria; Pseudomonadati; Bacteroidota; Sphingobacteriia; Sphingobacteriales.